This is a small nucleolar RNA of Humulus lupulus (European hop), 107 nucleotides long. Lineage: Eukaryota; Viridiplantae; Streptophyta; Magnoliopsida; Rosales; Cannabaceae. The record is from RefSeq and is a predicted model, not a curated record.
AUGUCAUGAUGGGGACACUUCCUUAACGGUUCCUUGAAAUUCUCCCAAGCAUUAUAUAAUGAUUCACUGUGAGUUUGCUAGAACUUAUUAAUCUCCUUUCUCAAUCG